RNAcentral lists this ribosomal RNA (229 nucleotides) under uncultured bacterium. Its description in RNAcentral is "partial 16S ribosomal RNA". It matches the Rfam family "Bacterial small subunit ribosomal RNA", at positions 568 to 796 of the family's 1533-position model. The record is from RNAcentral.
UGCGUAGGCGGGCUAAUAAGUCAGUGGUGAAAACCUGCAGCUUAACUGUAGAACUGCCAUUGAUACUGUUAGUCUUGAGUACGGUCAAGGUAGGCGGAAUGUGUAAUGUAGCGGUGAAAUGCUUAGAUAUUACACAGAACACCGAUUGCGAAGGCAGCUUACUGGGCCAUUACUGACGCUGAGGCACGAAAGCGUGGGGAGCGAACAGGAUUAGAUACCCUGGUAGUCC